GGGGCGGAUGUAGCCAAGUGGAUUAAGGCAGUGGAUUUGUGAAUCCACCAUGCGCGA
Molecule: transfer RNA, 57 nt
Filed under: Brassica juncea (brown mustard)
Lineage: Eukaryota; Viridiplantae; Streptophyta; Magnoliopsida; Brassicales; Brassicaceae
Also listed under: 2 other names
Description: partial tRNA-His
Source: RNAcentral